UACGUAGGGGGCAAGCGUUGUCCGGAUUUAUUGGGCGUAAAGAGCGUGUAGGCGGCCAGACAGGUCAGCUGUGAAACUCGAGGCUCAACCUCGAAACGUCGGUUGAAACCGUUUGGCUAGAGUCCGGAAGAGGAGAGUGGAAUUCCCGGUGUAGCGGUGAAAUGCGCAGAUAAUCGAGGAGGAACACCGGUGGCGAAGGCGGGUCUCUGGGCCGAUACUGACGCUGAGGAGCGAAAGCGUGGGGAGCGAACAGGA
This 255-nucleotide ribosomal RNA is filed under the name uncultured bacterium. Its description in RNAcentral is "partial 16S ribosomal RNA". It matches the Rfam family "Bacterial small subunit ribosomal RNA", at positions 524 to 777 of the family's 1533-position model. The record is from RNAcentral.